Molecule: non-coding RNA, 86 nt
Organism: Acanthosepion pharaonis
Lineage: Eukaryota; Metazoa; Mollusca; Cephalopoda; Sepiida; Sepiidae
Source: the annotation of a GenBank genome assembly
UUACAACACCAGUUCCCAUGGGAUUAGUGAAGUUAAGCACCAUUGAACCUGGUCAGUACCUAGAUGGGUGACCACUUGGGAAUACU